This is a long non-coding RNA of Anolis carolinensis (green anole), 3071 nucleotides long. RefSeq lists it as uncharacterized. NCBI's taxonomy places the organism in Eukaryota, Metazoa, Chordata, Lepidosauria, Squamata, Anolidae. The transcript has 2 exons. The record is from RefSeq and is a predicted model, not a curated record.
AAUAUUAUUUAUUGGGAAAUUUCAAAGCUACACUUUUUAAUUUAUUUCUCCCCCAAACAGAUAUAAAUGCCAGACUUUUUUAUCCAUAGCUGUAUAUUCGCAGGCUGUUUUGCUGAACAAGGAUGUAUAUCCAAUAGACAGUUCAAUAACAGAUUUAAUGGUUUAGGAAUUAUAAGAAAAGAAUUAAGUCUAAACACUGUCGGGACUGCAGAUGUGUUUUGCCCCAGAAAAUGAGGGAAAUAUAUUUGUUUCUUUCAAAUAUACAUAUAUAUACAGGCUGGUAGUUUGAAUUGGAUUAAAGCCCCAAUAAUAUUUUCCUAACUACAGUUCUCUGGCUGCCUUUGGAGCUGCUGGCGGAAAGAUAUAACUUUGCAAACACUUUCUUGAAGGGCUGAGCCUGAAGGGCCCUCAACAAUGCUCACCCAGAGAAAGGGAAACACCUCCACAAAAGGGGGGAAUUGUUAAUAGCUGACAAUCCAAAGGGGCCCCCCAGAGAAGGCCUGUCCUAUACAAUAAGGACAGAAGGCCGUGAUUUCUAUAGCAAGGGGGCCCCACUUUUUAAUCUGGACAAAAACAAAAUGUUAAUCAGGUCUGAAAGCCCUGACGGGUCAAAGCGGUGGGCAGAAAACCGGACUCUUUAACUCUCCCCCCCCUCCUUCUCUUCUUCUCCCACCCCCAACUCAACCCCCAAAGCAGGCCCCAAAGAAGAAGGACUGGCUGUCUCCUCCUCUUUAACUUUAUUUCAUCAAUUAGCUCUUUUGGGGAAAAAAGAAGAAGAAAAAGAAAAAGGAGGGGGAGGAUGAACAGCCCUAGUCAACUGAGGGAAACUUUUAAAAGAGUGCUUUUCUCUUCUUUGCUUCAUCCUGCCAAGGAGAAAGCCACUUCUUCGAAAGAGCAGCCUUCGCUGCAAUCGGAAGAUCUCCAGCCAAGCGCCGUCUGCAUCCAUGACCUAGAUUCGGCUUGCACCCUUGGCCUGGAGGAAAAGGUUCGAUGCAAGAUCAAGACACGCUCGAUUUGACGUUGUCAGUUUUCCCCACCAAGCGCAAUGCCGUGACAUCAUGUUCCCCGCAAAGCUGGGGAAAAUCCAUGAUUUGGUCAUAGAUAACGGCUGUUUCCAAUAAAACGUGUGGCUUGUUUGUUUAUUCUCUAUUUUAGAAUAUACAAAGCUUGUGAGAUACCUUCGUACAAGCUGAGCAUCCUUCGUCCAGAAUUCUGAAAUCUAAAAUACUCCAAAAUCAAAGACAUGGACGGCUGAGAUAGUGACACCUUUCCUUUUCUGAUAGUUUAAUGUACACAAACCUUGUUUCAUUCAAAAAAGUAUUUAAAAUAUUGUAGAAAAUUAUUUUCAGGCUAAAUGCACAAGUUGUAUUUGAAACAUAAAUGAAUUCCACUUACAGAAAAAUCUGUAAGUGUUGAGAAUGUAACAAAGAGUAUCUAGGUCAAUGAUGGGCAACCUUUUGUGCUUGGUGUGUCAAAAUUCACCAAAAAACCUAGCAUGACUUGGGUAGUGUGUCACUUUGAGAAAAAAACCAUAAUUUUGCAAUAUGUAUAGUUUAAAUAACAAAAAUAUAUAAUUGUAAUAUAUAACUGUAUUCAAUAAAUCAAAAACUAUUUACUACCAUUAUUUCCAUGUACAACAAUCUAUGGUACCUCUUGCAGUUUCCAUGCUGAUUUCUCUCUAUUCUAGUUUCAAUGUAGUCAUGAGCAAUGAAUAAUAUAAUAAUAAUAUAAUAAUAAUAAGAUGAUAAUAUACUACAAUAAUAAUAGAAUAAUAAUAGAAAUUAUAUGUAAUGUGCAUAAUUCCCAUGGAGUAAACAACAAAACCACUGGACCAAAUCACACCAAAUUUGGCCACAAAAGACAUAGUCAUCCAAUCAAUCUGCAGGCAGCAGUGUGUCAGCAAAAAUGGCUAGGCAUGUCAGUGCUGACACGCAUGUCAUAAGUUGGCCAUCACUGAUCUAGGUGAUGUUUUACUAAUCUGUAAUCAGUUUUUGCUUUAAAUUAUAACGAUAGUCAAAUAACCAAUAGAGAAUGGAGAUUCUUGUGAUUAACCAUAAGCUAAAUGCAAUGUUAUAAACUACUCAAAUGUUGUAUUUCAUCAUUGUACUGUCACAUCACUCUAGCCAAUGGUUUGUUGACUGAAAUAAAGGCUACUGACUGACUGAAUUCCAUAUUUAGACUAGGGUUCCAUCUCUAAGAUCAUUCCUUAUGUAUGUAGGUGCAAAUACAGAUAUCCCCAAAACCGGGGGGAAAUUCCAUAAACAGUGUCUGAGAUAGUCACACCUUUCCUUUCUGCUGGUUCACUGAACACAUGCUUUGUUCCAUGCACAACACUAUUUAAAAUAUUGUAUAAAAUUACCUUCAGGCUAUGUGAAUAAGGUGUAUAUGAAAUAUAAAUGAAUUCUGUGUUACGAUUUGGGUCCCAUCUCCAAGAUAUCUUAUUAGAUAUGUAUAUGCAAAUACAGAUACCCCCCAAACAAGGAAAAUAUCCAAAACCUGAAACACUUCUGAUCCAAUAAUUGUGAAUAAGGGAUAUUCAAUCUGUUUGUCAGUAAAUCUGUUGGUCAGAUCCUUCUUCUAUAGAACACCUAUCUGGAGUCAUUGCUUUUGUGACUUUUUUUGUUGUUUUUCUUAUUCUUGCUCUUAUUAUGAAUGCUUCACUUAUAGUCUGCCUUUCCCUCAAACUGGAAUGUGCUAGGGCAGCUGACAAUGAUUAAAAUAGGUUGAAUAUCCAAAAUGUGAAAUAAUGUGCGCUGAUCGGAAACAGGCUUGGCUGAUAACUGCAGUGUCCUUCUUUUCUUCUUCCCUUUUCCUCCAUUUGCCUCAACAUUAUCAUGGUGGGCACAACAUCAGCCAUUUUAAAACCUAUCGUGAGAUUCUUUUAAAUCCAAUGGAAAAGAACAAAGAUAAUCCUAUGGUGCUGUUUUCAAGAAAGAGACUGUAAAUUCUUCUGGAGUAUAACAUUCAUGAGAAUUAAGAUUAACUCUCAUUUUUUUGUUUAGUGUUCUUUUUUAUGUGUGUGAAUAUAUAUGGAUGUGUUAUAUAUAUAUAAAAAACCUCCGCCCUCUCUA